RNAcentral lists this transfer RNA (72 nucleotides) under Neobythites stigmosus. RNAcentral describes it as "tRNA-Val". It matches the Rfam family "tRNA". Rfam says of the family: Transfer RNA (tRNA) molecules are approximately 80 nucleotides in length. Their secondary structure includes four short double-helical elements and three loops (D, anti-codon, and T loops). Further hydrogen bonds mediate the characteristic L-shaped molecular structure. tRNAs have two regions of fundamental functional importance: the anti-codon, which is responsible for specific mRNA codon recognition, and the 3' end, to which the tRNAs corresponding amino acid is attached (by aminoacyl-tRNA synthetases). tRNAs cope with the degeneracy of the genetic code in two manners: having more than one tRNA (with a specific anti-codon) for a particular amino acid; and 'wobble' base-pairing, i.e. permitting non-standard base-pairing at the 3rd anti-codon position. Lineage: Eukaryota; Metazoa; Chordata; Actinopteri; Ophidiiformes; Ophidiidae. The record is from RNAcentral. RNAcentral also lists the same sequence under 1 other name.
CAGAGCAUAGCUAAACAAUAAUAGCAUCUCCCUUACACUGAGAAGUCAUCCGUGAAAAUCGGAUUGCCCUGA